Non-coding RNA from Paramuricea clavata, 643 nucleotides. Lineage: Eukaryota; Metazoa; Cnidaria; Anthozoa; Malacalcyonacea; Plexauridae. The record is from the annotation of a GenBank genome assembly.
GUCUUGUUUUUAACAGGAACGUUUUCUGUAUUUUCAAAUUGUAGGCUGGAAAUGGAUUGUGAAGCAAUUAAGAAUGCAUGCCAGGAAUUGCAAUUUUUACAUGUUUUACUUGCAUUUUCUAGCAACUGAAUCAAAUAGAAAAGUCCGCGUUGCCAUUGAUUUGAGACUUUUAAGUAUUGCAUUUGAUAAACAAGUCUCAGAAAUUCUAAAAAAUCUUCAUUUGAGAUUUUGCACUGGUAGUGCAGUGCAAACUCCAGUUUUUAAGCUCCGGUUGCUUUACAGAUCAAAUAUUUGACUAGCUACUCUGGCUGCGUUGGUUCUCGACACAGAGGACAAAUUAUAGGAUAAUGGCGGAUAUUAUUCGGCACAAUUUUGUCCCAAGGUUUCGUCCCAGAUGACGUGAUGCAGCGUAUUAAAUCAUGACGCUUGCGAUUUACAACUUUUCCUGUGAUAGAUAAGAUAGACACGAUGACUUGCAAUUUGGCCGUUUGCAGUAGUCGAAAAUGCCGGAGAUCCGUUCUCCGCCGCACAGCACUAUUUUGAAGCUUUUGAAUUACAAGAGUGUCUGAAAUUCAGACACAUCCCUGUUUUGUUAGUUGUGAUUUGAGAUUUUGACACACUUUGAAAUUCAGACACCCCUCCU